Lacerta agilis (Sand lizard) is the source of this 147-nucleotide small nuclear RNA. RefSeq annotates it as U4 spliceosomal RNA. The transcript has a single exon. Lineage: Eukaryota; Metazoa; Chordata; Lepidosauria; Squamata; Lacertidae. The record is from RefSeq and is a predicted model, not a curated record.
AGCUUUGCACAGUGGCAGUAUCAUAGCCAAUGAGGUUAAUCUGAGGUGCGAUGAUUGCUAAUUGAAAAAUAAAUAAAUAAAAAUGCAAUAUUGUGAAAGCAAAAUGGUUGUUGCUGAUGUAUUUACGAAAUCUCUUACUUUUCAGAG